This 253-nucleotide ribosomal RNA is filed under the name uncultured bacterium. RNAcentral's name for it is "partial 16S ribosomal RNA". It matches the Rfam family "Bacterial small subunit ribosomal RNA", at positions 524 to 776 of the family's 1533-position model. The record is from RNAcentral.
UACGUAGGGAGCAAGCGUUGUCCGGAAUCAUUGGGCGUAAAGCGCGCGUAGGCGGCCCUGUAAGUCCGUUGUGAAAGUCAAAGGCUCAACCUUUGAAAGCCGAUGGAUACUGCAGGGCUAGAGUCCGGAAGAGGCGAGUGGAAUUCCUGGUGUAGCGGUGAAAUGCGCAGAUAUCAGGAGGAACACCGGUGGCGAAGGCGGGUCUCUGGGCAGUAACUGACGCUGAGGAGCGAAAGCGUGGGGAGCGAACAGG